GACGAACGCUGGCGGCGUGCUUAACACAUGCAAGUCGAACGGAAAGGCCCUGCUUGCAGGGUACUCGAGUGGCGAACGGGUGAGUAACACGUGGGUGAUCUGCCAUGCACUUCGGGAUAAGCCUGGGAAACUGGGUCUAAUACCGGAUAGGAGCCAUUUUUAGUGUGAUGGUUGGAAAGUUUUUUCGGUGUAGGAUGAGCUCGCGGCCUAUCAGCUUGUUGGUGGGGUAAUGGCCUACCAAGGCGGCGACGGGUAGCCGGCCUGAGAGGGUGGACGGCCACAUUGGGACUGAGAUACGGCCCAGACUCCUACGGGAGGCAGCAGUGGGGAAUAUUGCACAAUGGGCGCAAGCCUGAUGCAGCGACGCCGCGUGGGGGAUGACGGCCUUCGGGUUGUAAACUCCUUUCGCUAGGGACGAAGCUUUUUGUGACGGUACCUAGAUAAGAAGCACCGGCUAACUACGUG
RNAcentral lists this ribosomal RNA (465 nucleotides) under uncultured bacterium. RNAcentral describes it as "partial 16S ribosomal RNA". It matches the Rfam family "Bacterial small subunit ribosomal RNA", at positions 28 to 507 of the family's 1533-position model. The record is from RNAcentral.